RNAcentral lists this ribosomal RNA (253 nucleotides) under uncultured bacterium. RNAcentral describes it as "partial 16S ribosomal RNA". It matches the Rfam family "Bacterial small subunit ribosomal RNA", at positions 524 to 776 of the family's 1533-position model. The record is from RNAcentral.
UACAGGGGGUGCAAACGUUGCUCGGAAUUAUUGGGCGUAAAGCGUGCGCAGGCGGUUUUGUAAGCCAGAUGUGAAAUCCCCGGGCUUAACCUGGGAAUGGCAUUUGGGACUGCAAGGCUUGAGUGCGGCAGAGGAGACUGGAAUUCCUGGUGUAGCAGUGAAAUGCGUAGAUAUCAGGAGGAAUACCGAUGGCGAAGGCAGGUCUCUGGGCUGACACUGACGCUCAUGCACGAAAGCGUGGGGAGCAAACAGG